GACGAACGCUGGCGGCGUGCUUAACACAUGCAAGUCGAACGGAAAGGCCCUGCUUUUGUGGGGUGCUCGAGUGGCGAACGGGUGAGUAACACGUGAGUAACCUGCCCUUGACUUUGGGAUAACUUCAGGAAACUGGGGCUAAUACCGGAUAGGAGCUCCUGCUGCAUGGUGGGGGUUGGAAAGUUUCGGCGGUUGGGGAUGGACUCGCGGCUUAUCAGCUUGUUGGUGGGGUAGUGGCUUACCAAGGCUUUGACGGGUAGCCGGCCUGAGAGGGUGACCGGCCACAUUGGGACUGAGAUACGGCCCAGACUCCUACGGGAGGCAGCAGUGGGGAAUAUUGCACAAUGGGCGGGAGCCUGAUGCAGCAACGCCGCGUGCGGGAUGACGGCCUUCGGGUUGUAAACCGCUUUCGCCUGUGACGAAGCGUGAGUGACGGUACUGGGUAAAGAAGCACCGGCUAACUACGUG
Molecule: ribosomal RNA, 468 nt
Filed under: uncultured bacterium
Lineage: Bacteria
Description: partial 16S ribosomal RNA
Rfam family: Bacterial small subunit ribosomal RNA
Source: RNAcentral